CCGGUGUGUUUGGCUGCGGCAUCAUUGGAUGAAUAAUUGAUUGAUGCUGCUGCUGGAUGGGAGAUAAUGUGCAGAAGUUGCUCCAGUCGACGUCCAUAGGAGACGGUGUUCGUUCUGGAGAUGCUCGAGGCCGAAUUCUGAGUUCUCUAAUCUUAGAAAAGAACUCUCUGCACUUGUACUGGGGCCGCCGAUUGGCAAUAAUCGGUCGGGUGAAUAGGCUUCGAAGAAAGACUGAUCUGUCAGUUUUGACGUUUCCACAAGAAUAUGUAAUUGGUGUACGUAUUUUUUAUUAUUUGAGAAAAAAAUAAACCUCUUCAGGCAAGCAUGACGUGGCAAUAAAAUUAGCGACAAACAUGCAUUAAGAAUAGAUGAGAAAAUUCUCAAUGAUAAAGCGUGAUUUGUCGCAUACACAUGCAAUUUUACAUAUUUUCACCUCAAGCUGAAUUCUGAAAAAAAGUUAUUUUUUUACACUACGUAAACAAAUCUAGUCUAAUUGAAUCGUGAAAAAUUUGUACAUCAACAUUGUUGUAUCAUACUUGAGUCUGCGACACUUGUCAGAGUAAAUUUUUAUCUGAAACUAAUUGCACGGGAGCCGAGAAUAAAUAGACAUACUUCUUUUUGCAUCACGAAAUGGCUAAACGUAUAUAGAUGUAUUACCAUAUUUAAUUUGUACAACAUAUAAAUAUAUUUAUCUGUCAUUGCGAA
Non-coding RNA from Linepithema humile (Argentine ant), 705 nucleotides. NCBI's taxonomy places the organism in Eukaryota, Metazoa, Arthropoda, Insecta, Hymenoptera, Formicidae. The record is from RefSeq and is a predicted model, not a curated record.